GACGAACGCUGGCGGCGUGCUUAACACAUGCAAGUCGAACGGAAAGGCCCUGCUUUUGUGGGGUGCUCGAGUGGCGAACGGGUGAGUAACCCGUGUGUAACCUGCCCUUGACUUUGGGAUAACUUCAGGAAACUGGGGCUAAUACCGGAUAGGAGCUCCUGCUGCCUGGUGGGGGUUGGAAAGUUUCGGCGGUUGGGGAUGGACUCGCGGCUUAUCAGCUUGUUGGUGGGGUAGUGGCUUACCAAGGAUUUGACGGAUAGCCGGCCGGAGAGGGUGACCGGCCACAAGGGGAGGGAGGAACGGCCGAGAAGACAACGGGAGGAAGCAGGGGGGAAGAGUGCACAAUGGGGGGAAGCAGGAUGAAGGAACGCGGCGGGGGGGAUGAAGGCCGGCGGGGGGUAAAAAGCUGUAGCCGGUGACGAAGAGGGAGUGACGGUAAUGGGUAAAGAAGCACCGGCUAACUACGUG
This 468-nucleotide ribosomal RNA is filed under the name uncultured bacterium. RNAcentral's name for it is "partial 16S ribosomal RNA". It matches the Rfam family "Bacterial small subunit ribosomal RNA", at positions 28 to 507 of the family's 1533-position model. The record is from RNAcentral.